UACGAAGGUCCCAAGCGUUGUUCGGAAUCACUGGGCGUAAAGGGAGCGUAGGCGGCGUGGUAAGUCAGAUGUGAAAUCCCGGGGCUCAGCCCCGGAACUGCAUCCGAUACUGCCGUGCUUGAGGGUUGGAGAGGUGACUGGAAUUAUCGGUGUAGCAGUGAAAUGCGUGGAUAUCGAUAGGAACACUCGUGGCGAAGGCGAGUCACUGGACAACAUCUGACGCUGAGGCUCGAAGGCUAGGGGAGCAAAAGGG
This 253-nucleotide ribosomal RNA is filed under the name uncultured bacterium. RNAcentral's name for it is "partial 16S ribosomal RNA". It matches the Rfam family "Bacterial small subunit ribosomal RNA", at positions 524 to 776 of the family's 1533-position model. The record is from RNAcentral.